This 379-nucleotide long non-coding RNA is filed under the name Homo sapiens (human). Its description in RNAcentral is "HSALNT0146944". The record is from RNAcentral. Lineage: Eukaryota; Metazoa; Chordata; Mammalia; Primates; Hominidae.
CUUAUUGUGUUCAGCUGGUGAAGUCCCAGAGACGCUGCUAGUGCUGUCAAAGACCACCAUCAAUGAUUCCCUCAGCGUGAGGAGACCUCUUCUGCUGGCUGUUGUAACAGAAGGAUUGAACAUGUUUCAGACAUACCUGCUAAAUGAGAGCGCAGACCCUCAGCAUACACACAGAUCACAUUUAAGACUCUGCAGAUCAUCAAGCAGCAUGAUAGAGAUGGCUUGGCAUACAUUAAAGCAAACAUUUCCUGCCAAUAUGUACCACGUUGCAGUGUAUCAUUAAUGCUGUCAGCCUCAGAAUAACUUCGCUUAUGUAGAAUGAUGCAUAGCUUAUUAAACUUGUAGAAAGUUGUUACUUAAAACUGGAGACUUGGUUUUU